GAGCUUGUCGGCAUAAGUGAGAGACAUGAGUACCAACAUAACGCCACAAAAAGAUCGAAAUUCGAAUAUACGUAACCCGCGAAAAUUCAAAAUUCGCGAUACUUUUUGAACACACCUCGUAUCUCGGAUACCACUUAUAAAAAGGCCUAUUGCAAUGAUGACAAUCUCCGGAGAGCGUAUGGCCUUCCCAAGGUCCACAAACCGGGUGUUCCAUUUAGAAUUAUAAUAUCGUUUAUUGAUAGCCUCCUAUAUGGUUUAGCUAAUUUACUUCAAUCUCUCAUCUCUAAGAACGUCUCUGAUGCUCCUAACAAAAUAGAUAACAGCUUCCAGCUCAUUUAAAAAUUGAAGGGUAAACAUUUAGACUCUAAUUACAGUUUAAUUUCAUUGGAUGUCAUUUCCUUAUUUACGAAUAUCCCUAUAGAACUGGCAAUGGAAAGUAUCUCCAAUAGGUAGAAGCACAUUGAGGGUGCUUGCAAUAUUCCGAGGUUUGAAUUCCUACAAGCUGUAAAGUUUGUUCUCGAGUCCAUUUACUUCAUCUUUGGAAACAAAUUUUUCAAACAAAAAUUUUACACCCCUAUGGGAUCACCGCUCUCGCCUCGUUGCAGAUCUUGUUAUGCAAGACCUGAAAGCUGAGGCUCUCGCACGAAUAGGUGUUCAAUUGCCUGUGUAUUUUAGAUACGAUGAUAUUUUAAUGGCAAUCGCUAGUGAUAUGAUUGACUUUACUUUGCAGACGUUCAAUUCUUUGCAUCCCAAAUUGCAAUUUACGGUGGAGAGAAAGGAUAAUAAAAUCAACUUUUUAGACGUCACUCAUCAUUAAAGACAACAAUGUAUUAAUGUUCGAUUGGUAUCAUAAGCCAACCUAUUUGGGCAGAUAUCUAAACUUUUUGUCGGCUCACUCCCUCUCACAAAAAAAGAGGAACUAUUAUUGGGAUAAUUGACAGAGCGUUUUUAUUAUCCGAAGCAGUUUUUCACAAAAAGAACAUUAAGUUUAUUAUAGAGAUCUUGUUAACUAAUGACUAUCCGAUUGAAUUUAUUUUUGAGACAAUUAACAAUCGCCUCAAAUCUUUAAUUUUUAAAAGUACUCUCAAACAAACCGACAAUAAUGUGAACAACGAUACAUUAGAUAAAAAAGCUCCGUGGUUUUUGUUACCUUAUAUGCCGACUAUUUUGGAUAAGUUUAUGACAAUCACCAACAAUUUGGAUGUUAAAUUGGCUUUUUUCAGUCUAAAUAAAUUAAACAGGAUUAUUAAAGUGCAGAAGGAUGUUCUCCCGAAGAAUUCAAUGAAAAAUGUAGUCUACCAAAUCUUAUGUAAAGAUUGUGAUGCGUCAUACGUUGGCCAAACCGGUAGGAAAUUAAAAACAAGAGUCACCAAACAUCGCAAUCACUUUAAUCGGAACACGACUAAUCUUUCCGUAAUUACCAAACACAGAUUAAAUUGUAAUCAUGAUUUCGACUGGGAGAACAUUAAAAUUUUGGGCAGUGAACGCUUCUUAAACAGACAAUUAAUUUCAGAAAUGCUAAAUAUUCAAUUGCAAAAAAUGGUCUCAAUUUGCAGACAGAAACAGAAUUCUCGCACAAUACAUACUUCUCACUUUAAAAAAAACUGUAAAAUUAUUUAUGUAAUUUAAUCACUCCGUUCUGCUUAUUUAUUUGUUCUAGUCAGUUUUUUUUUCUUUUGUAGAAAUAAAAAAAUCUUUUUUUUAUUUUAUCUACAAGAUUAUUAAUGUAUGUCGCUAAUCAAUUUAUUGUACAAAUUAAGUGUUUUGUUAACCGACGUAUCUUUACUGGCCUCUUUGUUUUAUAUUAUAUUUCCCCGCUCUUAUUUAUGUUUGUAUUGAUAAUUGAUCAGUUCAACCUUGCUAAAGGUCGAACGACGAAGCUCUUAGCGCAAAAGUCAGUAUUCCCGUUGUGUUGAAACAAGAUGCACGUCUCUCUGCGGAGUGAAUAACUUGUGAUAACGUGAACAAAUAUUAUUUUGACAAGUGAAUAUUUCACAUGACAAGCGUUAUCCAAAACUUCACACGUCGUCAUCAGUUCCUAUUGGUGAGUCUCAUCUUAAUUUUAUCCUUCAAAUGCAAUUGCUCGUAACAAUAUUUUAAAGAUCUGUCAUUUCCUUCGAUUUUGAUAUGCUUUAAGAUGCCACUGCGGAUCUGACAAACCGAUGGUGACUCAACCGCAUUAUACUUCAUGGACUGAUGUCGCCAUAUUUUUUUCUCCUGUUUACUUAUACGCUGAGGAGAACUCCAAAGAGAGUCAAAACGUUCGUUGGCUGAUAUUAUGAAUAAACAGAUUUAAUUGUAUCUGUAGUUUUUAUUGCGCAAUUACAUCCGCGCUGACUCUUAAUGGCCUUAUUUUUACUUACAAGGGGAGAACCAGUGUAUGUACACGCGGUGAGAUGAAUUCAGACCGUCGCGCCGUACCAAUUCAGACAAUAACGCGUCACCUUUACCGCAGCGCGCGGUUGCCUACGAGCUAGGCGCGAUGGUGCGGCGUCACCGCACAUUGGCUUAGACGUUUUAUUUUAUAAAUUAUUAAUUAUAGCAAAUAUCGCAAAAUGGUA
Molecule: long non-coding RNA, 2561 nt
Organism: Solenopsis invicta (red fire ant)
Lineage: Eukaryota; Metazoa; Arthropoda; Insecta; Hymenoptera; Formicidae
Exons: 2
Source: RefSeq, a predicted model, not a curated record